Molecule: long non-coding RNA, 239 nt
Organism: Lathyrus oleraceus (garden pea)
Lineage: Eukaryota; Viridiplantae; Streptophyta; Magnoliopsida; Fabales; Fabaceae
Exons: 3
Source: RefSeq, a predicted model, not a curated record
CAAGGGGAAUUACACAGAACAUCUUGACAAAGUAUUAGAAGAAGCUACUUCUGAGUUUUAUCCACAUGUAAAAUUUAUGCGUGUUGAGUGUCCAAAGUAUCCUGGGUUUUGUAUAAGUCGGCAGAAAAAGGAGUACCCAUUCAUGGAAAUAUUUCAUAGUCCAACACAUGUGGCUAACCAGGGUAGGGUAGCUGAUCCAAAUAUUACUAAAUACAAUGUGAAAGUCAUGCCUGUAAGUA